Molecule: long non-coding RNA, 1180 nt
Filed under: Chlamydomonas reinhardtii
Lineage: Eukaryota; Viridiplantae; Chlorophyta; Chlorophyceae; Chlamydomonadales; Chlamydomonadaceae
Description: long non-coding RNA (CREI_LNC001352)
Source: RNAcentral
UAGGUAUGUGGGGGAGGGGGGUUGUCUGCAACCAUCGGCCAUACUGGGCCACGGUAACGCCUGGAAACACGGGCUCGCAGAUCGGCGCUGGGUGACGCACAUUCCCUAAUCAGGGGCCUCCUCCUGCCCCGGCGCAUCGGCGCCAACUGGCUUGCAGACCGGCUUCUAGUAAGCAGGAUAGCUCUCGCGGGGAAACCAUCAGAACCCGCCGCACCAGCGUCCGCACCCGUAGAGCAGCGACCUAGGAAGGCCGAGAUGGCGCUCGUUCGGGGAAGUUCGGCACAAGUAUGUUCAGUGCCUACACAGGUAACGGAGCCGAACCGUUCCUGAUGGGUUUCGAUCCUGCGACCUUGAUGUGACUCCGACACCCAACUCCGGCAUCGUGGCGCAAGACCACCCGCGUACAAAGCCCACGGGCGGGCGGGUUGGUUAGGUAUGUGGGGGAGGGGGGUUGUCUGCAACCAUCGGCCAUACUGGGCCACGGUAACGCCUCGACACACGGGCUCGCAGAUCGGCGCUGGGUGACGCACAUUCCCUAAUCAGGGGCCUCCUCCUGCCCCGGCGCAUCAGCGCCAACUGGCUCGCAGACCGGCUUCUAGAAAGCAGGAUAGCUCUCGCGGGGAAACCAUCAGAACCCGCCGCACCAGCGUCCUCACCCGUAGAGCAGCGACCUAGGAAGGCCGAGAUGGCGCUCUUUCGGGGAAGUUCGGCACAAGUAUGUUCCGUGCCUACACAGGCAGGUUAGGUAUGUGGGGGAGGGGGGUUGUCUGCAACCAUCGGCCAUACUGGGCCACGGUAACGCCUCGAAACACGGGCUCGCAGAUCGGCGCUGGGUGACGCACAUUCCCUAAUCAGGGGCCUCCUCCUGCCCCGGCGCAUCAGCGCCAACUGGCUCGCAGACCGGCUUCUAGAAAGCAGGAUAGCUCUCGCGGGGAAACCAUCAGAACCCGCCGCACCAGCGUCCUCACCCGUAGAGCAGCGACCUGGGAAGGCCGAGAUGGCGCUCGUUCUGGGAAGUUCGGCACAAGUAUGUUCAGUGCCUACACAGGUAACGGAGCCGAACCGUUCCUGAUGGGUUUCGAUCUUGCGACCGUGAUGUGACUCCGGCACCCAACUCCGGCAUCGUGGCGCAAGACCACCCGCGUACAAAGCCCACGGGCGGGCGUUGGCGGGCGAGGUU